AAUGAACGCUGGCGGCAGGCCUAACACAUGCAAGUCGAACGGAGAGGCGGACGGGUGAGCAAUGGAUGGGAAACUGCCUGAUGGAGGGGGAAAAGGAGGGGAAAAGGUAGCUAAUAGCGCAUACGGUCGGAUGGGGUCAGGUGGGAUUAGCUAGUAGGGGGGGUAACGGCUCAUCAAGGCGACGAGCCCUAGCUGGCCUGAGAGGAUGAACCGCCCCACUGGAACUGAGACACGGUCCAGACUCCUACGGGAGGCAGCAGUGGGGAAUAUUGGGCAAUGGGCGAAAGCCUGAUCCAGCCAUGCCGCGUGUGUGAAGAAGGUCUUCGGAUUGUAAAGCUCUUUAAGUUGGGAGGCGUUACCUACCGAAUAAGCACCGGCUAACUACGUGCCAGCAGCCGCGGUAAUUC
RNAcentral lists this ribosomal RNA (407 nucleotides) under uncultured bacterium. RNAcentral's name for it is "partial 16S ribosomal RNA". It matches the Rfam family "Bacterial small subunit ribosomal RNA", at positions 29 to 526 of the family's 1533-position model. The record is from RNAcentral.